RNAcentral lists this ribosomal RNA (484 nucleotides) under uncultured bacterium. RNAcentral's name for it is "partial 16S ribosomal RNA". It matches the Rfam family "Bacterial small subunit ribosomal RNA", at positions 30 to 507 of the family's 1533-position model. The record is from RNAcentral.
AUUGAACGCUGGCGGCAGGCCUAACACAUGCAAGUCGAGCGGAUGAAGGGAGCUUGCUCCUGGAUUCAGCGGCGGACGGGUGAGUAAUGCCUAGGAAUCUGCCUGGUAGUGGGGGAUAACGUCCGGAAACGGGCGCUAAUACCGCAUACGUCCUGAGGGAGAAAGUGGGGGAUCUUCGGACCUCACGCUAUCAGAUGAGCCUAGGUCGGAUUAGCUAGUUGGUGGGGUAAAGGCCUACCAAGGCGACGAUCCGUAACUGGUCUGAGAGGAUGAUCAGUCACACUGGAACUGAGACACGGUCCAGACUCCUACGGGAGGCAGCAGUGGGGAAUAUUGGACAAUGGGCGAAAGCCUGAUCCAGCCAUGCCGCGUUUGUGAAGAAGGUCUUCGGAUUGUAAAGCACUUUAAGUUGGGAGGAAGGGCAGUAAGUUAAUACCUUGCUGUUUUGACGUUACCAACAGAAUAAGCACCGGCUAACUUCGUG